AAUUUACUGCCUAACAUUUUUGCCCGAUUCCCUCUCUCUCUCUCCAUGUGCACACAUGCACGCACACGCACGCACACACACACACUCUUGUUUUCCUGAACCACAUGAAGAAGCUUCAUAGGUCACGUCCUUUGGCCCCCAAUGCUGUGAAUCGCCUGAGCUGGAGAUGUCAUCUUACAUGAUCACGGUAGAGUCAUCAACAGCAUAAAUUCAAAGCUGAUGCGAACCUCCUUUUCCGCCCCGGCACCCUUUUCAUGAAGAAUGCUCGCAAGGAAACUGUGUGCUCUGUGGCUGCACACUCCAGUGGCCAAGCCCUUGCAGCAGGUGCCGUCCUGUGAGACGUACCCAGUCCCCCAAGGGGAGCUCGGUCUGCAGGAGAAACCGGACAGCACACCCUCCCCGGGGCUCUUUCCACCACGUGUGUUUUGGAAUCAUCUUUUCUCUGUUGGUCAAACAAAUGGCAGUCUUGGGUGUGCUGGGUGUGGCGAAGGCUGCUUCCAGGUGGCUGUGAUACAUUGUUGACUGAAAUUAGAGUCUGGGGAUCCUGUGACCUUUGUGUCAUCACGGAAACUCUGAUGUGCACGACUCUCCAGGGCUCCGUGUCCUCCCGCCUGGACUGUGGCCCCAAGGUCUUCCAGGGCCAGCUCCAUUCCUGCAGUCAGCUCUCAGCUUCCUUCCCUGGGCUCUGCACACAAUGGUGCCCAUUGUUUCCUUGCACGGCCUGGAAGCGCAUUGGCCUGAUUCUAGCCCCAGAGGCCAGGGCAUGGGCCUCUGUUACUCCCUCUGCAUGCCUAGCCUGUGAUGCAGUUGUCACCAACUUCACUGAUUGCCAAUGUCUGUUGCCUCCACAGUUGCACCCAGCACCCUGGGCUCCCUCUAGGAUGGUGAGGCCCAGAGAAGGCAAAGUGACAGUAUACAGUGGGAGUUGAAGGGGCUUCUGGACUGGGUGGGUCGUCCUGGGGAGCAGAGAACCCAACUUCCUCGCCUGGGUGGCGUUUCCUCUCUUCCUCCUUGAAGCACAGCAAUUAUCUUGACCCUUCCGGUCUCCCACGGAGGCUUCUCCCACAGCUCCUCUCAGGGCCAUCUCCCCUGUCCAAAAGAGCUGCAAGGGGAAAAACAGGGGUUUGUGGAUGCAAAAUGAGGUCCUCCAUCUGGUUGCUGAGACUCGCAAUCUAGCCACCAAGAGGGAACAGUGUGGGGUGCAGCGAACUGCUCAGGGCGUCUCGUUGCGCUCUCCCAGGCCCCAGUGCACUGGGAAUCCAGGGGCUGGGGAUCCAGCCAGGCUGCAUGUGUCUGCGUGACUGGCAAAUGCUCUGCUGCUCGCUGGCACUGGUUGCCUCUUCUGCAAGGUGGGAACAAAAGGACCCGUGAGGACUGAGGGACGCAGCCACAGCGGGGCCUCCCUGGGGUAUGCCCAGGUCGGGAAACGGGGCCUCUGCAGCCAGAGGGACCCACAUGCAUUCCCACUCCCUCCUGCAAUCUGGCUGGCUGUGGAUGGUGCACAGCCCUUCUCCCAAGCCUUUGUUUUCCCAUCUGUAAAUUAGCUACAAGAAAUAGUCCAAAGCCUACAGGUUCUGCAUCUGUGCAUUGAAAGGGUUUGAAACAAAAAUGACUCCUGCACUGAGUUCCCACAGACUUCUUUUCCUUGUCGUUAUUCCAUAAACGAUGUAACAACCAUUUACUCGGUGUUCACACUGUAUUGGGCAUUGCAACUAAGGUAGAGAUGAUGUGAAGCGCACAGGAGUAUUGUCUGGGCUACAGGAAACACUACACCAUUUUUAUAGAAGGAACCUGGGCACCUCGGGAGUUUGAUAUCCACAGGGGUUCUGUAGUCAAUACCCCACGAAAACCGAGGAGCGGCUGUACCUGUUUAUUUCUCAGGGCCACUGGUAGAACCAAAGAGAACAUAACAUUUUAACCUAGAAUCUCAUUCAGGUCAUUAUUGCUGCUUAAAGCCUUAUAUGUUUAGAUCCUGCUAUCUCCUACAGAAAUAAGAUGAUAGUUUUGAUUAGGUCUAACACGACACCCAAACCCUGAAUAUAAGGACAGGCAUAGUCAACCGAAUCUACAUCUGCCACUGGUCUCAUGAGACAUCGACAUCCUGUGCAACAAAACAGCUGGUGGAAUGACCUUGACCAUUUGCGGGCUGUGGUGUUGUGAGGACCUAUCCUUAGGGAAUGAUGGGGGUCACUGCCUUCCACUCUUGCUCUGUCUCCUCCUUCCAACGUCGCUUUGCCCAGGGUGGUUCAGACCUGCAUGCGCUCUGCCUCCACCGUGCAUCUUCCAUGGGCCCGGCAGGCCUCCACUCAGACACCUGCUCCUGGGAUGCGUAAUCUACGGUGUCCUGCCUUGGAGGAGCACUCCCUCACACUCAGUCUAGGUUGCUUGGUUUGUUUGUACACAGAUGGAGGUAGUCGGCCUGUGGCUCAGAGAGGCAGGCGGGAAGUGACCUUCCAUGACUUGAUUCCACGGGCUUGUUUGCAAGAACCCAGACACACAAGCGGCCACUGACGAUAUGUGUUCCGACAUCAUAUAUGGGGCAUAUUUUGCUCAGAAACAUGCCCUGUUAGUUGUUGAAACCUCUUUUGCAUUCCCUGAAACAAAUGACACUAUGGGGUAUUUUCUUUUGGGGAGCAGUAAAUAAAAGUCUUUUAUGUUGACAAUGAUAAUAUUAUAUUCUACAAUCUAUUUGCAUUUCUCUAUUCUGUGGAUUUUAUUGCUUGGUAUAAAUCCCCAGGCUGAGGCACAUCAAGCUUCACUCAUGGAGAAAGAGCACAUUUUACUGUAGGACUGGACUGUCACAGGUUCGAGAUGCUCUCUGCCAGGGUUGGGGUUUGCCUGGAUGUGCAGGAGACGUGCGUAGAUAAGGAGAAAUGCAAAUGUAUGUGCAGUUUUGGGCACAUGCACACGAAGCCUGCAAGGACUUUUUCUGGAUCCAUGAUCAGAAUGAUUUUCAAGAGAGAGCUGGUGUGAACACACACUUCUUGGGCGUGCUCCAACUGACCGCUUCCCCUCCAGCCAGGUCCACAGGAAAGCCACCAGCACCUGCUGCAGCUCUGGCCAGAGUUCUUGGGCAGAAAACUGGAAAGAGGACAGAAAAGUAUCUUCGAGGCUUAAAGUAGAGUUGAGUCUCUCACCAGCUUCCUGCGGGUCUUCCAACUACGUCUGAGCAUAGGAGCAUCUUUUCCCAACAGGCAAGUCAGGAGGUACUGAGGUGAACCAUGGCACGAGCUUGAGCCAGAGUUAAUAUUAACCCCUGACUGUUCACUGAGCGCCUACUAUGGGCCAUGUUUUGUGCUAAGCAAUAUCUCAUUUAACCCUCUCAACAAGCCUACGAGGGCUCUGAGUUUGCCUCCGGGUGGAAGAGAAGAGGAGGCGCAGUCCACCGUCCCCGCAGCCUGGUGAAGAAGUGCACUCCUGAGGCUGGAAAAAUCGAGCAAAACCAUCUGGCUGAGUGGGCUCGGAAGCGCCGGGAUCGAAGUCACGUGUGAGCUCCGAGCACGGGCAGCCUUGUCUCUUCUCAGGCUGCAAAUCUUUGGCAAUCAAAGGCAGGCUCUGAAUUAAGCUUAAUUAAAAUUCACUCUUAAUUAGGGCCAUUACUUAAAA
Molecule: long non-coding RNA, 3606 nt
Organism: Oryctolagus cuniculus (rabbit)
Lineage: Eukaryota; Metazoa; Chordata; Mammalia; Lagomorpha; Leporidae
Source: RefSeq, a predicted model, not a curated record